AUAAAAUUGAAGAAAAAUUUUUGAAGGAAAAAGGAAAAGGUUUGUCUAAGUAAAUUGCAGAUAUAUAUUUUAUUCAUAUUACACUUUCCUUUUUCCAUUCUAAUCACUGCUCAAAUCCUAAACUCUUAUGCUGUGUGUUUGGUUUAAGAAUUCCCCCUUCUCUUCUCAAAUUGCCCCUCAAAUCCUCAAAUCCUAAACCCUUAUGUCGUAUUUGGUUUAAAAAUUUACGAACAGAUUUAAAAAGAAAAAAA
Molecule: non-coding RNA, 251 nt
Organism: Camellia sinensis
Lineage: Eukaryota; Viridiplantae; Streptophyta; Magnoliopsida; Ericales; Theaceae
Source: RefSeq, a predicted model, not a curated record